ACAGUCCCAUAUGAUUGCCUUGAGAAGUCAAUGUCCUUAGGAACAUAGAAUCUGGAUGCAGUAUUAUUAUGUUAUUAACUAUGACAAGGUCGCAAAGAUGUUAGAAAGAUUCCUGAAUGAAAGUCCUGGUGCAAGGUCAGGACGAUGCAAGGAUUUUGAUGAUUCUGUGAAAGGUUAUCCAGUCGUUAGUCACGUAUAUUAGUUUGAAAAUGUACAGCUUUCGCGCCCUUUCUUUCAUAGAUGUUUCUGCACCUUUUUUAAUUUAGUUACUAGACUUGCCGUCUUUUCAUUAGUGGCCAGCCAUUGUGUCCUUGUAUCUACCUACGUCAAUCGCAUAUACAUUACCUGGACAGUAAAUUUUUCUCUUUUUUUAUGUCGCCAUUAAUCAGCUAGGAGAGUGUCUCUAUGGAAACAGGAUUCAUUAUGCUAGACGGUGAAAACAAAUUUCGCGGUGAAGCUAUGAGUGUAACCUUGAGUAAGUAAUGGUACUUGCUGGUGUGAUAGAAUGAAAGUGAAACGGCACGGUUGGAAUGAUUCUUCAUAAAAAUGACGAUUAGACGGUCAUCCUCGUGUCUUGGGAGAAGUGGAAGAGGAUAAUAGUUCGUCCUUCGUGCAGGAUCAAUCGAGGCUUCACAAUGAAUCCAGUCUUUGUAUGUAGUACGGAAUUUGAAUCGGACGCAAAUCCAGUCGCAGGAAUGCGCUUCUUUUAGAAAGUCUUGGCAGUUCAAGAUGCAAAAAACUGGUCGGCCACUUCGUGCAAGGACAUUUUUAUUGAAGUGCCAAUGAAGGCACAGCAGUCUUCCACUUUUGUCACCCUCUUGACAUGGUGAAUGGCCAUUUCGAUGGAUCAGGGAAAUCGCAAGAAAAGCAGACACCGCCUACUGCGAGACAAAUUGAAUUAAUGACAAUACCGAAUUCAGUCAGCAAGGCGACGAGAGGCUUGACAUUCAAGAUUUCAAGAAUUCGGAAGAAAAAAGAAGUCGGACAAAUGUCAAGCUUGUCAGUCAUUAUCAUGGCACGUGUUAAAUCCUGAUUUUUGGCCGCAUCUUUAUUUAGGCGUUACCAAAUUUAGUAAACGAAGGACCAGAUAGAACCAGAAUCGGAAAGUCGUUCUGCAGGUGACCGCAGAUUGCGCAGGUCUGUCCGAAUAAGUAGAGUAGCAAGUAAGAGCAUUUCACUGUGCAGUAAGAGGACAGUACAAAAAUUAGCUUCGGGCGAGCUCGGGUGUUUACGGGUAUUAAAUAAUUAUUAUUUCGAAAGCAAGAGUGUUUAACCUAUACAUCUAUAGAAGGAUCGACGAGAUUGUGGCCCAGAUCCGACGUCCUUCCCCACGGCAAUGCUACGCCACUUCCUGUACAGACGUCGCGACGUGAUCGUAUACAUAAAGGAAUGUGCAGGCGCACGAAGAAAGUGGACUCGAAUGAACGGAUGAGAAAGUAGACACAGGUUAGGGUAUCCCAAACUCUCAGGUAUUAUACGUGUGGUGUGUGUCUGUAUAUAUACAUAUAAUUUUUCGUAUUGUACAAAACAAAAUAUUCGAUCACUCUUGCUGUUAGUUUGUUUUGAUCGAUACUCGAUCGACACGAUGUAAAAGUAAUCGAUGGACCAAUCAUAAUUCUGCAAGUUGCAGUUACAUAUGAAAGUCUAUCAUUGUCAAUCGAUUGACAAGCUGAGCUUUGACACGCGAGUGUACGGAUAAAGUGGCCACCAUGCGUAUGAACGUGUCUAUCCAAUUUACCUGCUUUCAAGAAAUUCUAGAUUGCAUCGACGCUAAUGCGGAAUUGAUCAGUAACUUUCUGUAUUACUGAAAUCAUAGUAUUUAUGAUGUUAAUGUCUAACAUUAAGUAUGCGGUACCCUGUGAUUCAUACACCGUUACUAAUUCUAUAGGAAGUGGACGAACAUAUACAAAGCAAACUCAUCCUGAAGAGACUGCGGAGAGAUUUGAAUAAUUACAGAGGAAUUGCUGAGAGUCUACUGGAGUGGGGACUUGAUUUAGCUGUAAUAGCCAUACCUUUUGGUCCAUCACGCGAAAGUGCAUUAGAACCUGGACCUAUCCUCGUGUAAUGUAUGCACGCUGCACGGACACAUUGAAGAACAUACGUGGAGCAAGCGCAUGCGGAAACGAGAACCCAGUCAAGAUCUCACAUUGAAUGGAAUUAAACUUCCUUAGUCAAGGAUAGAAGAUGCAGAUGCUGCGAAAGCUAAGAUUUCUACGGUUUUGCAGCUACGCCGAGGUUAACCACGUGGAAUUCAAUGGCUGGACGUCUUCCGUGUGGAAGUGAAUUUUCCUUUCGAAGCAACGAUACCAUCUUGGACACGCGUCGAGCAGAUGGUUUAAUGAAGAAAGUGCGAGGAUUAAUCAGCUCGGAAGAAUCAAACCGCGACGGAUUCACGAAAUUGUUUUUUUUUUUUCAUUUUCUAUAACAACAAUGUAGUUGGAAUCUACGUACCGUACUGAAUUAAUGACUCAUCAAUUGUAUAAGUCAACGAGGACGGUGCUCCAGGGAACGCUGCCCCAGGUACCUUGUUAAUUAUCCAAUAAUUUAUUGUAAAUUAAUAUCUGAAUUUCCACGUAUGAUUAAUAGUGACACAGUCGCUAAUAGGACUUGGGUAAUAUCUAUUGGGAUAGACUUUACCUAUCUGGGACUCUGUUGAAUCCAUGUGUCGUCAUUCCUUAAGAACGUUUUUAUGUCAAAACUAUGGAAUUUACUGGCAAAUGAAAAUGUCAUGUAAUUUAAGAAUUUUCUCUUAGCGUUAAGAGCCGUGACUUGGUGUCUGGAUGUUUCAGACUGAUAUUUUUUUUCUUUGCCAACUACCAACUAUAAGUCUUCGUGAAAUGUCUUCAUGGGCGACAAAAAAGCUUUUAUGAGAAUUUUAAUACUAAAGUGAUUAUAUUCUUGGUCGUUUAUCGAUGAGAACUUUGUAAGCUGAUGACAAUAUUAUGCGUCCUUCAUUAUAUUGAGAUAAAAUUAGAUAAUUUGUGAGAGAUAAAAUUAGAAUUUAUAUCAAGGCAUUUAUAAUAACUAGAUACUACCUAACCUAACCCUAUUCAAUAUACGUAACACUUACGUAACGCAUGCGAUUCACUAUACGUAUUACCAGUUGCUUGUUUUCCGUAACGUCGUUUCCGUCAUUGCGAUUUGGCAUGAGUAAAGCGAGAGAUACGUUAUCGCGGAGAGAAUUUAAAUGAUGCUUUCUGUUUUCCUCUUCCAUGUAAACGUGAAGUGAUUCACUUACGAUUAACCGUUUUAUUGUCUGUGACGCAUAUGUAUAUGUGCGAAAAUAAAUCGCGCGACUUCCUUAAUGACGCAUAUAUGUAUAUGUAUAUACGGAUUUUGAAAAAAGUUUGUACUAUUACGAUUUGUUUCUGCUUUGGUAUCUUAAUGCAUUGUAGGAAUGUCAACACCGUAUGAGUUUUAUUACAAUGCUAUUAAGUCACGUGUUUCUAUCACAUAAUUGAAGUAACAAAGUGAAUGGUCACUGAAAACAUUAGAAACAUUCGCCAGUCGCAUAGUAGGGAAAAAAUAGUACUGAGUAAACAGUAGAAAAAGACAGAAAAAUCCAUAAUGAAAUUUUUAUUUAAUUCAAAUGAUCUAAUCAUCUGUUCCGUUUCGUAACUCCCAUACAGACAUAUAAAUGUAAUUUAUAAAUUGAUUUUUCUUAGAAACACAAAAAUAAAUAUAAAUUUAAAAGGAAAGUAUAUUCUUAAAUGUAGAAUGAAAUUCAUUUAGAAAGAAGUUGAGUCAUUUAGGAAUUUCGUAAGCUUUCUACCGUGAUAAUCAUAGACGUGACACCAAAAGAUUACCAUGAGGAAAGAAGAUUUCCUCCUCAUUUGCACGCUUACAAUCAGUUACAUAUUUAGUUCAACUCAAAAAUCAAAGUAAAUUUUCCUUUAAAAUAUAUAUUUUGCAUUUAAUUUGUUUUUAUGAAAUCUGUGGUUGAAUGUAUGUAAAAUGAUGUAUGUAGAAUGUAUGUAGUAUGAAUGUAUGAAGAUAAUUCGAAGUUAUUUUAUAUUUUGAGAUGUAAUCAACGAAAUUUUGUAUUGGCUAUACCAUUGGUUGCUUGUACUUGACACAAGUCUCAACUACGUGUUGUAAUCAGUGCAAUCUGUUAUCUAAAAAAGUAGUUGGAGGUACGAAGACGACGACAAUGACUGAACUGAAUUAAAAUCAUC
Long non-coding RNA from Cephus cinctus (wheat stem sawfly), 4175 nucleotides. RefSeq lists it as uncharacterized. NCBI's taxonomy places the organism in Eukaryota, Metazoa, Arthropoda, Insecta, Hymenoptera, Cephidae. The record is from RefSeq and is a predicted model, not a curated record. The transcript has 11 exons.